GAAUACGAACAAUGGUUUCUAAAUAUAGAAGGUUAUGAAAAAAAAACGCGUAGCGUUACACUGCGUCUCAAAUAUUAGGGUUUUUUUUUUAAAAAAAAGAAUUUACUUGCCUCCCAAAAUUUCAUAGCAGUUCAACCAUUUUCCCCACUUAAUUCUGAAUUUAUUCCAAAGUACCCUUCUCUGCCUUAGUUAUCCCGCUUCCUCAAAAUCCCUAACCCUAAACUCACUCCUAAUCCCGCUUCAUCAAAAUCCCUCUCCACCGCACCAUCAGAUGAACCAGCCCCAAAAUUUCAUAGCAGUUCAACCCAAGGGAACUUUCUAUGGAUAAAUUUGCAAUCAGCUGAACUUUAAUUUGCACUCUUUUGUUCAACACUAUUGCAAUUUGAAGUUAUGCCACUUUGAAGGUGUACUAAAUGGAUCAAUGACAACGUUAGUCGGAUUCGUCUUAAUGGUUUUAUGAUAAGGAUCGUCAAGGGAUUCGAUGAAGAUAUACAUGGCAUGAGGGUAGGUUUAAACAUUAUUGAAGAUGAACAUAAACACAGAUUGGUGGCUGCAGUGAAAUAUUCUCACUUCAUACAAAGGGUUGCAGGCGGAGUAAGAAACAUCAUGAUUUAUUGUUGGGCUGGGGGAAAGAAAAAGUUAAAAACAUUCGGAGUCUGUAUGCUAGAAAGAUUGAAAAGUCGAACUUGGUUAUCAAGGAGCUCGUUAAGGAAAAUGAUGAAGAAAAAGAAAGGUUAAAUGGAGUUAUUGCGGGCUUGUUGGUUGAAAAAGAAAAAGAUAAGGUGGACAAAGAUGUUAUGCUCAAUAGGAUGUCACAAAUUGAAGCUAUGUUAACCGCUAUGGUUCGAAGAUAGGCUAUAAACACUUGGUUUUGAACGUUUUGAUGUUUAUCAUAUUAGGAUAAUUUCGGUAAUUUGAUGUUUUAGUUGGCAUUUAGAUUAGAAUGUUUUAUAAUUUUAUAUAUUUUUCGGAUUUUGUAAUUU
Long non-coding RNA from Helianthus annuus (common sunflower), 983 nucleotides. RefSeq lists it as uncharacterized. Lineage: Eukaryota; Viridiplantae; Streptophyta; Magnoliopsida; Asterales; Asteraceae. The transcript has 3 exons. The record is from RefSeq and is a predicted model, not a curated record.